UGCCAGCCGCCGCGGUAAUACGUAGGUGGCAAGCGUUGUCCGGAAUUAUUGGGCGUAAAGCGCGCGUAGGCGGGGAGGCAAGUCGGGUGUGAAAUCCCUCGGCUCAACUGAGGAACUGCGCCCGAAACUGCUUCUCUUGAGUCCCGGAGAGGAAGGUGGAAUUCCCGGUGUAGCGGUGAAAUGUGUAGAGAUCGGGAGGAACACCGGUGGCGAAGGCGGCCUUCUGGACGGUGACUGACGCUGAGGCGCGAAAGCGUGGGGAGCAAACGGGAUUAGAUA
Molecule: ribosomal RNA, 279 nt
Filed under: uncultured bacterium
Lineage: Bacteria
Description: partial 16S ribosomal RNA
Rfam family: Bacterial small subunit ribosomal RNA
Source: RNAcentral